AGAACGAACGCUGGCGGCAUGCCUAACACAUGCAAGUCGAACGAGACCUUCGGGUCUAGUGGCGCACGGGUGCGUAACGCGUGGGAAUCUGCCCUUAGGUUCGGAAUAACUCAGGGAAACUUGAGCUAAUACCGGAUGAUGUCGCAAGACCAAAGAUUUAUCGCCUAAGGAUGAGCCCGCGUAGGAUUAGCUUGUUGGUGAGGUAAAGGCUCACCAAGGCUACGAUCCUUAGCUGGUCUGAGAGGAUGAUCAGCCACACUGGGACUGAGACACGGCCCAGACUCCUACGGGAGGCAGCAGUGGGGAAUAUUGGACAAUGGGCGAAAGCCUGAUCCAGCAAUGCCGCGUGAGUGAUGAAGGCCCUAGGGUUGUAAAGCUCUUUUACCCGGGAAGAUAAUGACUGUACCGGGAGAAUAAGCCCGGCUAACUCCGUGCCAGCAGCCGC
This 445-nucleotide ribosomal RNA is filed under the name uncultured bacterium. Its description in RNAcentral is "SSU rRNA". It matches the Rfam family "Bacterial small subunit ribosomal RNA", at positions 26 to 518 of the family's 1533-position model. The record is from RNAcentral.